UACGUAGGGUGCAAGCGUUGUCCGGAAUUAUUGGGCGUAAAGAGCUCGUAGGCGGUUUGUCGCGUCUGCUGUGAAAGCCCGGGGCUCAACCCCGGGUCUGCAGUGGGUACGGGCAGACUUGAGUGCGGUAGGGGAGAUUGGAAUUCCUGGUGUAGCGGUGGAAUGCGCAGAUAUCAGGAGGAACACCGAUGGCGAAGGCAGAUCUCUGGGCCGUUACUGACGCUGAGGAGCGAAAGCAUGGGGAGCGAACAGG
This 253-nucleotide ribosomal RNA is filed under the name uncultured bacterium. Its description in RNAcentral is "partial 16S ribosomal RNA". It matches the Rfam family "Bacterial small subunit ribosomal RNA", at positions 524 to 776 of the family's 1533-position model. The record is from RNAcentral.